UACGAAGGGGGCUAGCGUUGCUCGGAAUCACUGGGCGUAAAGGGAGCGUAGGUGGCCUUAUAAGUCAGUGGUGAAAUCUCUGGGCUUAACCCAGAAAUUGCCAUUGAUACUGUAGGGCUUGAGUACAGUUGCUGUGGGCGGAAUAUGACAUGUAGUGGUGAAAUACAUAGAGAUGUCAUAGAACACCGAUUGCGAAGGCAGCUCACAAAACUGUAACUGACACUGAGGCUCGAAAGUGCGGGGAUCAAACAGG
RNAcentral lists this ribosomal RNA (253 nucleotides) under uncultured bacterium. RNAcentral's name for it is "partial 16S ribosomal RNA". It matches the Rfam family "Bacterial small subunit ribosomal RNA", at positions 524 to 776 of the family's 1533-position model. The record is from RNAcentral.